GUGUCAGCAGCCGCGGUAAUACGGGGGGUGCAAGCGUUGUUCGGAAUCAUUGGGCGUAAAGGGCGUGUAGGCGGCUUGGUAAGUCAGAUGUGAAAGCCCUGGGCUUAACCCAGGAAGUGCAUUUGAAACUGUCAGGCUUGAGUAGGGAAGAGGAAGGUGGAAUUCCUGGUGUAGAGGUGAAAUUCGUAGAUAUCAGGAGGAACACCGGUGGCGAAGGCGACCUUCUGGUCCUAUACUGACGCUGAGACGCGAAAGCAUGGGUAGCAAACAGGAUUAGAAACCCGUGUAGUCC
RNAcentral lists this ribosomal RNA (292 nucleotides) under uncultured bacterium. RNAcentral describes it as "partial 16S ribosomal RNA". It matches the Rfam family "Bacterial small subunit ribosomal RNA", at positions 505 to 796 of the family's 1533-position model. The record is from RNAcentral.